This 296-nucleotide signal recognition particle RNA is filed under the name Oncorhynchus mykiss (rainbow trout). Its description in RNAcentral is "Metazoan signal recognition particle RNA (ENSOMYG00000065115.1)". It matches the Rfam family "Metazoan signal recognition particle RNA". Rfam says of the family: The signal recognition particle (SRP) is a universally conserved ribonucleoprotein. It is involved in the co-translational targeting of proteins to membranes. The eukaryotic SRP consists of a 300-nucleotide 7S RNA and six proteins: SRPs 72, 68, 54, 19, 14, and 9. The record is from RNAcentral. Lineage: Eukaryota; Metazoa; Chordata; Actinopteri; Salmoniformes; Salmonidae.
GCCGGGUGCGGUGGCAUGUGCCUGUAAUCCAAGUCACUGGGAGGCUGAGGUUGGUGGAUCAAGUGAGCUGAGGAGCUCUGGGCUGCAGCACGCUAUGUCGAACGGGUGUCCACGCUAAGUUCGGUAUCGAUAUGGUGUUCCUGGGGAGCCCGGGACCACCAGGUUGUCUAAGGAGGGUGAACCGGCCCAGGUCGGAAACGAAGCAGGUCAAAUCCCCCGUGCUGUCCAGUAUGGGAUAAUACCUGUGAGUAGAUGCUGCAGUGCAGCCUUGGCAAAACAUCGAGACCUAAUCUUUU